GAUGAACGCUGGCGGCGUGCCUAACACAUGCAAGUCGAACGGGAGCAAGUGCUUCGGUAUUUGCUUUAGUGGCGAACGGGUGAGUAACGCGUGAAUAACCUGCCUUUCAGUGGGGAAUAACACAGGGAAACCUGUGCUAAUACCGCAUGAUGCAGUUGGGUCGCAUGACUCUGACUGCCAAAGAUUUAUCGCUCUGAGAUGGACUCGCGUCUGAUUAGCUUGUUGGCGGGGUAACGGCCCACCAAGGCGACGAUCAGUAGCCGGACUGAGAGGUUGGCCGGCCACAUUGGGACUGAGACACGGCCCAG
This 308-nucleotide ribosomal RNA is filed under the name uncultured bacterium. Its description in RNAcentral is "bacterial SSU rRNA". It matches the Rfam family "Bacterial small subunit ribosomal RNA", at positions 28 to 334 of the family's 1533-position model. The record is from RNAcentral.